Unclassified non-coding RNA from Mesocricetus auratus (golden hamster), 310 nucleotides. Its record names the gene 7SK. It matches the Rfam family "7SK RNA". From Rfam's summary of the family: 7SK was discovered as an abundant small nuclear RNA in the mid-70s but a possible function has only recently been suggested. Two independent studies have found that 7SK RNA binds the CDK9/cyclin T complex (known as elongation factor P-TEFb). Lineage: Eukaryota; Metazoa; Chordata; Mammalia; Rodentia; Cricetidae. The record is from Ensembl.
GUCUGUGAGGGCAGUCUGACUGCUGCAUGUCACCCCACUGAUCGAUCAGUUGCCAGGGUUGAUCCAGCCGAUUUGACUGGCUAGAUGUGCAUCCCUUCCUCUCUCACAACUCCACGUGUGUCCCUCCCAAAGCUGUUGUCUCCCCUGAAGAAGAAAACCUUCCCCGAGCAGAAGAGGACCCGUCUUUCUUUGGUCCAGGAUCCCCUUGUAGUUACGCCUCCCUGAUAGAACCUCCAAACAAGUUCUCAAUUAAAGGUGUAAUUAUGCAGUGAGAAGAAGCAAACUGUCUCUCCAAUUGUCUACGAUUUGG